RNAcentral lists this long non-coding RNA (210 nucleotides) under Elaeis guineensis (African oil palm). RNAcentral's name for it is "long non-coding RNA (EGUI_LNC002000)". Lineage: Eukaryota; Viridiplantae; Streptophyta; Magnoliopsida; Arecales; Arecaceae. The record is from RNAcentral.
CGGUGUGGAGACACUGGGGUGAGAGUGCAGGUGGUUGUUAGAGAAUAACUUAUAUUGAGCGUGACUAAUAUAAGAAAUCACUAGGAUGUCUACUCACUCGUCGGUGAUUUUUUCGAUACUGUAGUGGUGUGAUAGGUUCUUUGACUUGUGGUAUGUUGGCUAUUCACAGCGAGGUUACUUAGUUUGACUGCAUAAUUUCUUGAUCUCUAG